GUGCUUUCUUUGGUAGCACAUGUUCUAAAACUGGAAUGAUACCAAGAUUAGCAUGGUGCCAGAGCAAGAAUGACAUGCAAAUUAAUGAAUCAGUCCAUCUAUUU
Molecule: small nuclear RNA, 104 nt
Organism: Sciurus vulgaris (Eurasian red squirrel)
Lineage: Eukaryota; Metazoa; Chordata; Mammalia; Rodentia; Sciuridae
Source: Ensembl